GGGGAUAUAGCUCAACUGGGAGAGCGCCGCCUUCGCAUGGCGGAGGUUGCGGGUUCGAGUCCCGCUAUCUCCACCA
RNAcentral lists this transfer RNA (76 nucleotides) under Pseudomonadota bacterium. RNAcentral's name for it is "tRNA-Ala". It matches the Rfam family "tRNA". From Rfam's summary of the family: Transfer RNA (tRNA) molecules are approximately 80 nucleotides in length. Their secondary structure includes four short double-helical elements and three loops (D, anti-codon, and T loops). Lineage: Bacteria; Pseudomonadati; Pseudomonadota. The record is from RNAcentral. RNAcentral also lists the same sequence under 2 other names.